GGUCAAGCUACAAAGGGCGUAUGGUGAAUGCCUUGGCAUCAGGAGCCGAUGAAGGACGUGAUAAGCUGCGAUAAGCUUCGGGUAGGCGCAAAUAGCCUGAGAUCCGGAGAUCUCCGAAUGAGGAAACUCACAUGGGAAACCCCAUGUAUCCAUAAGUGAAUCCAUAGCUUAUGGAAGGUAAACCCAGGGAACUGAAACAUCUAAGUACCUGGAGGAAGAGAAAGAAAAAUCGAUUUUCUUAGUAGCGGCGAGCGAAAAGGAAAGAGCCCAAACCAGAAAUUUAUUUCUGGGGUUGUGGACAGAACAUUAACGUGAUGGUCAUUGUAAUUGAAGAGAACUGGAAAGUUCCACCGUAGAAGGUAAUAGUCCUGUAAGUAAAACGAUAAUAUCACAAGUUCUGAUCCAGAGUACCACGAGACACGUGAAACCUUGUGGGAAGCAGGGAGGACCACCUCCCAAGGCUAAAUACUACCUGAUGACCGAUAGUGAAGCAGUACCGUGAGGGAAAGGUGAAAAGAACCCCGGGAGGGGAGUGAAAUAGAACCUGAAACCGUAUGCCUACAACCGUUCAAAGCCCCUUAUGAGGGUGAUGAAGUGCUUUUUGUAGAACGAGCCAACGAGUUACGAUAUGUUGCGAGGUUAAGUACUUAAGGUACGGAGCCGAAGGGAAACCGAGUCUGAAUAGGGCAACUAGUAGCAUGUCGUAGACCCGAAACCGGGUGACCUAUCCAUGGCCAGGUUGAAGCGAAGGUAAAACUUCGUGGAGGACCGAACCACGUUGCUGUUGAAAAAGCAUGGGAUGAGCUGUGGAUAGCGGAGAAAUUCCAAUCGAACUCGGAUAUAGCUGGUUCUCCUCGAAAUAGCUUUAGGGCUAGCGUCGGGUAAUUAAGUACUGGAGGUAGAGCACUGAAUGGGCUAGGGGGCAUAGCGCUUANAGCUAGGACGUCAGUUUUAGUGGAGCCAACCUUGGGAUACCACCCUGAUAGUACUGGAAUUCUAACUGGAGGCCAUGAAUCUGGUCACAGGACAUUGUUAGGUGGGCAGUUUGACUGGGGCGGUCGCCUCCUAAAAAGUAACGGAGGCGCCCAAAGGUUCCCUCAGAACGGUCGGAAAUCGUUCGAAGAGUGCAAAGGCAGAAGGGAGCCUGACUGCGACACAUACAGGUGGAGCAGGGACGAAAGUCGGGCUUAGUGAUCCGGUGGUUCCUCGUGGGAGGGCCAUCGCUCAACGGAUAAAAGCUACCUCGGGGAUAACAGGCUGAUCUCCCCCAAGAGUUCACAUCGACGGGGAGGUUUGGCACCUCGAUGUCGGCUCGUCGCAUCCUGGGGCUGAAGUAGGUCCCAAGGGUUGGGCUGUUCGCCCAUUAAAGCGGCACGCGAGCUGGGUUCAGAACGUCGUGAGACAGUUCGGUCCCUAUCCGUCGCGGGCGUAGGAAAUUUGAGAGGAGCUGUCCUUAGUACGAGAGGACCGGGAUGGACUGACCUCUGGUGUACCAGUUGUUCCGCCAGGAGCACAGCUGGGUAGCUACGUCGGGAAGGGAUAAACGCUGAAAGCAUCUAAGCGUGAAGCCCCCCUCAAGAUAAGAUUUCCCAUAGAGUAAUCUAGUAAGACCCCUUGAAGACUACAAGGUUGAUAGGUCGGAGGUGUAAGCAUGGUAACAUGUUCAGCUGACCGAUACUAAUAGGUCGAGGGCUUGAUCU
This 1700-nucleotide ribosomal RNA is filed under the name Clostridium massiliamazoniense. RNAcentral describes it as "bacterial LSU rRNA". It matches the Rfam family "Bacterial large subunit ribosomal RNA". The record is from RNAcentral. Lineage: Bacteria; Bacillati; Bacillota; Clostridia; Eubacteriales; Clostridiaceae.